RNAcentral lists this small nucleolar RNA (86 nucleotides) under Zalophus californianus (California sea lion). Its description in RNAcentral is "Small nucleolar RNA U3 (ENSZCAG00015014399.1)". It matches the Rfam family "Small nucleolar RNA U3", at positions 1 to 85 of the family's 219-position model. Rfam says of the family: Small nucleolar RNAs (snoRNAs) are involved in the processing and modification of rRNA in the nucleolus. The record is from RNAcentral. Lineage: Eukaryota; Metazoa; Chordata; Mammalia; Carnivora; Otariidae.
AAGACUAUACUUUCAGGAAUCAUUUCUAUAGUUUGUUUAUAGGAUAACAAUCCUAAUGAAUUGAUUUCAAAGAGCAAGCUAUUUGA